RNAcentral lists this ribosomal RNA (167 nucleotides) under uncultured bacterium. RNAcentral's name for it is "partial 16S ribosomal RNA". It matches the Rfam family "Bacterial small subunit ribosomal RNA", at positions 340 to 499 of the family's 1533-position model. The record is from RNAcentral.
UACGGGAGGCAGCAGUGGGGAAUCUUCCGCAAUGGACGAAAGUCUGACGGAGCAACGCCGCGUGAGUGAUGACGGUUUUCGGAUUGUAAAGCUCUGUUGAGUGGGACGAACGGCAUUAUGGCUAAUAUCCAUAGUGAGUGACGGUACCACUUAGAAAGUUGUUCCCC